UACGUAGGGGGCAAGCGUUGUCCGGAAUUAUUGGGCGUAAAGAGCGUGUAGGCGGUCCGGUAAGUCAGCUGUGAAAGUCCAGGGCUCAACCCUGGGAUGCCGGUGGAUACUGUCGGGCUCGAGUCCGGAAGAGGAGUGUGGAAUUCCUGGUGUAGCGGUGAAAUGCGCAGAUAUCAGGAGGAACACCAAUGGCGAAGGCAGCACUCUGGGACGUGACUGACGCUGAGACGCGAAAGCGUGGGGAGCGAACAGG
Molecule: ribosomal RNA, 253 nt
Filed under: uncultured bacterium
Lineage: Bacteria
Description: partial 16S ribosomal RNA
Rfam family: Bacterial small subunit ribosomal RNA
Source: RNAcentral